Long non-coding RNA from Oncorhynchus tshawytscha (Chinook salmon), 1142 nucleotides. The record is from Ensembl. Lineage: Eukaryota; Metazoa; Chordata; Actinopteri; Salmoniformes; Salmonidae.
CACACAUACAGCACACACACAUACAGCACACACACAUACAGCACACACACAUACAGCACGGGUUAAAAGGCAGAAAGCGCUGGUUCAAAAUCCAAACGAGUCCAUGUCAGUUUAAUUAGACCUCUGCCAUUUGCCAGGGUCAGAGAGUAAGAGAGGCUAACAGUCAACCAGCUAGACUCAGUCAGAGUGUUAUCCAAGCAGGAAGUCUACUAGAACUCUACAGGAGGAGGGGUACGGCUGGUGGGCUGGCUGGAGGUGGAACUCUACAGGAGGAGGGGUACGGCUGGUGGGCUGGCUGGAGGUGGAACUCUACAGGAGGAGGGGUACGGCUGGUGGGCUGGCUGGAGGUGGAACUCUACAGGAGGAGGGGUACGGCUGGUGGGCUGGCUGGAGGUGGGACUCUACAGGAGGAGGGGUACGGCUGGUGGGCUGGCUGGAGGUGGAACUCUACAGGAGGAGGAGGGGUAUGGGUGUUUAUUUAAAUAUCUCUCUGUCUCGGGAAGUCAUUCAGAGUAUUUAUUUAAACAUGUAUUUCAGACCAGAUAGAUAAUGUGCUGCUCUCAGUUUCAAUGGGAGGAGUCAACAGAGAUUUCACUCACUCACACACCUGCACAUACUCACCACAUCCAACAAACUGGGCAAGGCCUUCGUUCUACAAUCUCCUUUGAACACAGCACUGGACAGGAAGAGGAGUGUCAGGGUGUUGUUGUCAGUUAGUAUGACCGUGUUCCUGUCUGCUACUGUUGACAACCGUUGGAGAUGUUGCUAGGGUAGACAGAUAUAAUCUAACAGACAGUGUGAGGGUGUAGACAGUUGGAGAGAUAGAUAGAGAGGCCAUGUUGCUAGGGUAGACAGAUAUAAUCUAACAGACAGUGUGAGGGUGUAGACGGAGAGAUGGAUAGAGAGGCCAUGUUGCUAGGGUAGACAGAUAUAAUCUAACAGACAGUGUGAGGGUGUAGACAGUUGGAGAGAUAGAUAGAGAGGCCAUGUUGCUAGGGUAGACAGAUAUAAUCUAACAGACAGUGUGAGGGUGUAGACAGUUGGAGAGCCAGUUCAGUGAUGUCACUGAUUUACAGUGUAGUUACCAGUUCAGUGAUGUCACUGAUUUACAGUGUAGUUACCAGUUCAGUGAUGUCACUGAU